AUUUCAAGCUGUGAUGGGGAGGCCUUCUGGCCGAAGUUCCUGAUUUCACACUGCCGAGAAAAGCCUCUAGCAAGGUCACAGGUGCCCGUACCGCAAACCGACACAGGUAGGCGAGGAGAGAAUCCUAAGGUGAGCGGGAGAACUCUCGUUAAGGAACUCGGCAAAAUGACCCCGUAACUUAGGGAGAAGGGGUGCUCUACGGAGUAGAGCCGCAGUGAAUAGGCCCAAGCGACUGUUUAGCAAAAACACAGGUCUCUGCGAAGCCGAAAGGCGAAGUAUAGGGGCUGACACCUGCCCGGUGCUGGAAGGUUAAGGGGAAGAGUUAGGGCUUUCGCCCGAAGCUUAGAACCGAAGCCCCAGUAAACGGCGGCCGUAACUAUAACGGUCCUAAGGUAGCGAAAUUCCUUGUCGGGUAAGUUCCGACCCGCACGAAAGGUGCAACGACUUGGGCACUGUCUCAACGAGAGACCCGGUGAAAUUAUACGAUGCGUGAAGAUGCGCAUUACCCGCGACAGGACGGAAAGACCCCGUGGAGCUUUACUGUAGCCUGAUAUUGAAUGUCUGUGCAGCUUGUACAGGAUAGGUGGGAGCCUUAGAAACGUGAGCGCCAGCUUACGUGGAGGCAUCCGUGGGAUACCACCCUGACUGUAUGGACCUUCUAACCCAGGACCGUGAUCCGGUUCGGAGACAGUGUCAGGCGGGCAGUUUGACUGGGGCGGUCGCCUCCCAAAAGGUAACGGAGGCGCCCAAAGGUUCCCUCAGAAUGGUUGGAAAUCAUUCGCAGAGUGUAAAGGCAGAAGGGAGCUUGACUGCAAGACCUACAAGUCGAGCAGGGACGAAAGUCGGGCUUAGUGAUCCGGUGGUUCCGCAUGGAAGGGCCAUCGCUCAACGGAUAAAAGCUACCCCGGGGAUAACAGGCUUAUCUCCCCCAAGAGUUCACAUCGACGGGGAGGUUUGGCACCUCGAUGUCGGCUCAUCGCAUCCUGGGGCUGUAGUCGGUCCCAAGGGUUGGGCUGUUCGCCCAUUAAAGCGGUACGCGAG
Molecule: ribosomal RNA, 1041 nt
Filed under: Bacilli bacterium
Lineage: Bacteria; Bacillati; Bacillota; Bacilli
Description: bacterial LSU rRNA
Rfam family: Bacterial large subunit ribosomal RNA
Source: RNAcentral